Homo sapiens (human) is the source of this 227-nucleotide long non-coding RNA. Lineage: Eukaryota; Metazoa; Chordata; Mammalia; Primates; Hominidae. The record is from Ensembl.
AGGAGGUGGGCUACCACAGGGACAUGAGCUGCCUAACUGCCAUCCUCCUCCUGUAUCUGCCAGAGGAAGACACCUUCUGGGCACUGGAUCAGCUGAUGGCCGAGGAGGGACACUCCCUGCAGGGCAAAUCUGGAGAUUUUCUCAAGCCUCUUUAUGAAAAUGGAGAGACCUCACAAGAGAUGCUAAUGGACAGCUGACCCUGCUCCCUGCUCCAUCACAGGUUGUAG